AGAACGAACGCUGGCGGCAUGCCUAACACAUGCAAGUCGAACGCGUGGAGCAAUCCACGAGUGGCGCACGGGUGAGUAACGCGUGGGAACCUGUCCUGGAGUGGGGGAUAACCGAGGGAAACCUCGGCUAAUACCGCAUACGUCCUGAGGGAGAAAGAUUUAUCGCUCUAGGAGGGGCCCGCGUCGGAUUAGCUAGUUGGUGGGGUAACGGCCUACCAAGGCGAUGAUCCGUAGCUGGUCUGAGAGGAUGAUCAGCCACACUGGGACUGAGACACGGCCCAGACUCCUACGGGAGGCAGCAGUGGGGAAUAUUGGACAAUGGGCGCAAGCCUGAUCCAGCAAUGCCGCGUGAGUGAUGAAGGCCUUAGGGUUGUAAAGCUCUUUCGGCGGGACGAUGAUGACGGUACCGCAGAAGAAGCCCGGCUAACUUCGCGCCAGCAGCCGC
This 445-nucleotide ribosomal RNA is filed under the name uncultured bacterium. Its description in RNAcentral is "SSU rRNA". It matches the Rfam family "Bacterial small subunit ribosomal RNA", at positions 26 to 518 of the family's 1533-position model. The record is from RNAcentral.